RNAcentral lists this ribosomal RNA (472 nucleotides) under uncultured organism. Its description in RNAcentral is "partial 16S ribosomal RNA". It matches the Rfam family "Bacterial small subunit ribosomal RNA", at positions 332 to 796 of the family's 1533-position model. The record is from RNAcentral.
UACACUCCUGCGGGAGGCAGCAGUGGGGAAUAUUGCACAAUGGGCGCAAGCCUGAUGCAGCCAUGCCGCGUGUAUGAAGAAGGCCUUCGGGUUGUAAAGUACUUUCAGCGGGGAGGAAGGCGAUAAGGUUAAUAACCUUGUUGAUUGACGUUACCCGCAGAAGAAGCACCGGCUAACUCCGUGCCAGCAGCCGCGGUAAUACGGAGGGUGCAAGCGUUAAUCGGAAUUACUGGGCGUAAAGCGCACGCAGGCGGUCUGUCAAGUCGGAUGUGAAAUCCCCGGGCUCAACCUGGGAACUGCAUUCGAAACUGGCAGGCUAGAGUCUUGUAGAGGGGGGUAGAAUUCCAGGUGUAGCGGUGAAAUGCGUAGAGAUCUGGAGGAAUACCGGUGGCGAAGGCGGCCCCCUGGACAAAGACUGACGCUCAGGUGCGAAAGCGUGGGGAGCAAACAGGAUUAGAAACCCGUGUAGUCC